AGCCGCCCCCUCUUAACCCUCAUAAAUUUACAGAAUCACAAUUCAUUGAUUCAGUGUUCACAGAUCUUUCAUCUUUCUCAAGUCUCAAACUCUCAAUCUCAGAAUCUCUCACACUCUCAGCCGUCCAGCCGCCCUCUCUCAAUCCUCACAAACCAAAUAAAAAAUAAUCAAUCUUCAUCUCCAUUCUCCUGAGUCCCUGACUCUACAAAUCUAGACAAACCAGCCAUAUCCCUCUCCCAGUCUCCCACACGGGCAUGACACCCGACCCGACCUGACCUAACCUCCAAAUCUAGCAAACCAGUCACCUCCCUCUCUCACACCUGACCCGACCUUGAAUCUUGUCACACCAGAAUUUGGUGAAAACUUAUAUCUAGCAACGGAUGAUAAUUAGUUUAAAAAUUAAUUUGAUGGUUUUGAUGUCAAUGGUAUUAAGGAAUCAAAGUGCAAUGUUCUUGUCAUCUUGAUCUACUUUUCAAUUGGGAUGAUGUGCACAAUGAAGAUUUAUAUUUUUUGCAUAAAGUGUUUUAUUUUUUAUGACGAGGUUAUUUGUUGUUUAGGCCCUUUUAAAGGCAGGGCUUUGUAAUUUAAAUUUUAACUUGGUGUGUUUGUUAUUUAAACUCUGAUGCAGAUGGUCCAAAACACAAAUAUUAGAAAGACUUUUAAUUAAUUUUAAACACAAUAUUGGCACUAAUAAUUUAAUAUAAAUGAAUAUUUAGUGAUAAAAAAUUAAAUAUAUUAUAGAAUCUUGUAACAAAGUGAGAUAAUAUUAACAUUAAUUACAAGCUCAUCAGAAGGCCCAAAACAAGCUCAAAAAAGCUCAAAAAAAGCUCAAAUAAAAAAUUCAGGUUUUCUGGUUUUUAUGUAAAAUUAACCUAACCGAACCGAAACUGGUUGGUUUGAAUCGGUUCCGGUUAGAAUUUUUUUAUUUUAAAAUUUUUUAUUUUGGUUAUUUUUUUAGAUAAAAAUUGAAUCGAACCGAAAAUAAUCACCAAGCUCAGAAUAUCCAUAUUGAAGUUGUUAGACAAUAUAGAGAUACAGAAGAAACAAAGAAAUAGACCAGUAAUAAGAAUUGUUAUUAUUGUGACUGCAAGCAUAAUUUCUUUAUUGAUGUAAUAACUCUUUUAUAGAAGAGUUUUGAUAACAAACUUCAGAAAAAUAAUAACAAGAUAAAAACAAAAAAAAAGCUGUUCUAUAACAGUUUUAUUUGCAACUAACAUCAUAACAAAUUGCAACUAAUCUUGACUGAAUCUUCUUAGCAUCAAAGACCUCUUCUUCAGCAGCAAAUGAUGCAACUGUCAACACUCCUCCUUGCAUCUUUUGCUGCAGACACCUAUCUUGUUCCUCAAUGUUUCAAACCUUGUUUUUUAUAAUGGCUUGGUUAACAUAUCAACUAGUCUUUUGUGUUGCAAUAAAGAAGUUGUAAUUCAUCAUUUUUCUGAACUUCUCUUACAAAAUAAUACUUGAGCUUGAAAUGCUUUGUUUUGCCAUGGAAGAUUGGAUUGUUGGAUAUUGCAAUUGUAGCCUGAUUAUCAACAUUGACUUUAGUAGCUUUAUUCUGCUCCAUGUCCAAAUUUGCUAAGAUUUUUCUAAGCCAUAAAACUUGAU
This is a long non-coding RNA of Populus nigra (black poplar), 1605 nucleotides long. RefSeq lists it as uncharacterized. The transcript is spliced from 3 exons. Lineage: Eukaryota; Viridiplantae; Streptophyta; Magnoliopsida; Malpighiales; Salicaceae. The record is from RefSeq and is a predicted model, not a curated record.